This is a long non-coding RNA of Pungitius pungitius (ninespine stickleback), 1054 nucleotides long. RefSeq lists it as uncharacterized. The transcript has 3 exons. The record is from RefSeq and is a predicted model, not a curated record. NCBI's taxonomy places the organism in Eukaryota, Metazoa, Chordata, Actinopteri, Perciformes, Gasterosteidae.
UGAGCAGCAGCAGCAGCAGGUCUCACAUGGAGGUCAGACAUCGAGCCGCUCUGAGACAGACAGCGAUCACAGGUGCCGGUUUUAUCUUGGAUUUUAGAGAAGUAAGAAAGAAGUAGUGUUACAGGCAACAGGAACCAAUCAGAGAUGAAGUGUCUGACAACCGCCCUCUUCUUUGUUCUUUUGUCUACAAUAGCAUUCGCUAAGCCGAUGGGUCGGCGUCGACAUCACGGUGCCAACCAUGCUGACAAUGACUUGACCCGGAGAGGUCCGAACCGGAAUAGAUUGGGCUCUUGGCGGCCUCGCGACUCGUCAUCGGAGUCUUCUUCCAGCGAGUCCAGCGAAUCCUCAGAAAGUCAAUCUUCGGAGGAGUCUACCGAGGUCACAGCCACAAGAGUCACCACAACAGACGGGAGCACCUUCACUUCAGAACCAGACACAACGAUUACAGAUGACCGUGUGGAUUCGUCAACUCCCCCGGCAGCAACCCCGGCCCCGCCCGUUCCCGGGACCUCACCCGGAUGUGUGACUCAGUCUUUUACCACGGACAUUGCAACUAAUGUUCCCAUCACAGAAAUUAGAGGAGACAACUAACUAACCACUAGAGUUGAGCCGGAUACUCGGCUGAAACGAGUAUCCGGUACGGAUAAAGCACUCUUUCCGAGUAUGAGUAUUAUACGAGUAAUACGAGUCAAUAUCUGUGCUCGGAUUGAAUAAAAGUCCUCACUGGGUAGCUGUCUGUGUCUGCGUUCUGUGAUUGGCUGGUAGUCACAGCGCCCCUCCCCUACACACAUACUGUUUAUUGUGUUGCCGUGUCCCGCUCGGCUCACUCAUACACAGAACUUCUCCCUCCCUCCCUCAGUCAUCAGGUUCGCGGGUCUUUCCCGUUAAAUUUAAAAGAUUUCUUCGGCUUCAGGUUUAUUUUUUUACUUCGGUUUGUUGUUCUUAACUAGUAGAGUUCAGGUAAACGUGGGGCUUGUUAAGACGCGGCGCUUAAGAAUGCGACUAUUAAUAUUACAAAUUAAGACACACACACACUUCCCAGAGUUCUCAGAGU